This 1259-nucleotide ribosomal RNA is filed under the name Terrabacter sp. FK3. RNAcentral describes it as "partial 16S ribosomal RNA". It matches the Rfam family "Bacterial small subunit ribosomal RNA", at positions 33 to 1325 of the family's 1533-position model. Lineage: Bacteria; Bacillati; Actinomycetota; Actinomycetes; Micrococcales; Intrasporangiaceae. The record is from RNAcentral.
ANNCCNAGGNUANAGCUUACAAUGCAAGUCGAACGGUGAUGACAGGGCUUGCCUUGUCUGAUCAGUGGCGAACGGGUGAGUAACACGUGAGUAACCUGCCCCAGACUCUGGGAUAACCCCGGGAAACCGGAGCUAAUACCGGAUAUGACACCAACGGGCAUCCGUAUGGUGUGGAAAGUUUUUCGGUCUGGGAUGGACUCGCGGCCUAUCAGCUUGUUGGUGAGGUAGUGGCUCACCAAGGCGACGACGGGUAGCCGGCCUGAGAGGGCGACCGGCCACACUGGGACUGAGACACGGCCCAGACUCCUACGGGAGGCAGCAGUGGGGAAUAUUGCACAAUGGGCGAAAGCCUGAUGCAGCGACGCCGCGUGAGGGAUGACGGCCUUCGGGUUGUAAACCUCUUUCAGCAGGGAAGAAGCGCAAGUGACGGUACCUGCAGAAGAAGCACCGGCUAACUACGUGCCAGCAGCCGCGGUAAUACGUAGGGUGCGAGCGUUGUCCGGAAUUAUUGGGCGUAAAGAGCUUGUAGGUGGUUUGUCGCGUCUGCUGUGAAAAUCCGAGGCUCAACCUCGGACUUGCAGUGGGUACGGGCAGACUAGAGUGUGGUAGGGGAGACUGGAAUUCCUGGUGUAGCGGUGGAAUGCGCAGAUAUCAGGAGGAACACCGAUGGCGAAGGCAGGUCUCUGGGCCAUUACUGACACUGAGAAGCGAAAGCAUGGGGAGCGAACAGGAUUAGAUACCCUGGUAGUCCAUGCCGUAAACGUUGGGAACUAGGUGUGGGUCUCAUUCCACGAGAUCCGUGCCGCAGCUAACGCAUUAAGUUCCCCGCCUGGGGAGUACGGCCGCAAGGCUAAAACUCAAAGGAAUUGACGGGGGCCCGCACAAGCGGCGGAGCAUGCGGAUUAAUUCGAUGCAACGCGAAGAACCUUACCAAGGCUUGACAUACACCGGAAUCACUCAGAGAUGGGUGCGUCUUCGGACUGGUGUACAGGUGGUGCAUGGUUGUCGUCAGCUCGUGUCGUGAGAUGUUGGGUUAAGUCCCGCAACGAGCGCAACCCUCGUUCUAUGUUGCCAGCACGUCAUGGUGGGGACUCAUAGAGACUGCCGGGGUCACUCGGANGAGGUGGGGAUGACGUCAAAUCAUCAUGCCCUUAUGUCUGGGCUUCACGCCAUGCUACAUNNNNAANAANNCNGGCNNNNNNNGNGANNAUCCAAAAACGNCUCANNCGNAAUNNGGGUUCNUGUCCACACCNCUNNNA